RNAcentral lists this long non-coding RNA (252 nucleotides) under Lathyrus oleraceus (garden pea). Its description in RNAcentral is "Pisum sativum (pea) long non-coding RNA (PSAT_LNC031531)". The record is from RNAcentral. Lineage: Eukaryota; Viridiplantae; Streptophyta; Magnoliopsida; Fabales; Fabaceae.
UCAAUCAGAAAACCAACAGACAAACAGUGGAACUUUCCAAUAUUUACAACUCAAUGAACAAUGCUCAAGCAAUCAAAUGAAGCAAUGAGCUCAAUACUUAGAAUCCUACAAAACAAUCAAAGGUUAGAAUUCAUAUCAUUUGUAUCUCACAAAGUGAGACCAAACCAAUCAUCAAGGCUAAUGUCCAAACCUGAAACACAAAGCAUAAUUAGUUAUGUACAAAAACACUAGUGCAAAGACUAGGUCUAAAAC